CUCAGCUUACUUCAACUUUCGACCUGCAAAAAUUUAAACAAUGGCCAAGUCACAUGUAGUUAGCAAAAGCCCUUCCAUGGUUUCCAUAGUGCUGCUUUGUGGUCUGCUAAUGGCUAACCUUGCCACAACAGGUUGUCUACUUUCUUACAUAGACAAGAAAUAGGAAGAUAGAAAAACAUGGGAAUAUAUUAUUUUGUGUUUUCUCAUUAUUUAAAAUAUUGUUGAUUGUUUCUUUAAUUCUAUUAUAUAAUGUUUUUUUUUAAUUUUUAUAACUUGGUAUAAAUGUAAAACAUGCACAUCACCGGAACUUUGUCAAAAUUUCUCUUAAAUUGCAGUAUAGAUGUAUACACGUAUACCUUGUAUAUGCAUACAUAACUUCCAAGUUUGUAGUGCCUUAGCGUACUUUUGUUUUGUUUUGAUACAAACGAUAGUCUAAAUUACUCUAAAUUAAUUAGCCACUUCAAACCACAGACUUUCGCUUUUCUCUUGUAUGUAUAUAUGUAUUUAAUUUUUUCAACAUAUAUGGAUGCUAUAAAAUUUCUAUUCAUAAAGCCAAAGUAAGAAAAACUGACAUAUAUAUGCAGAAGCAAGUAUUGGUGUUUGUUAUAGAACAGUAGGAGACAACUUACCUCCACCAAGAGAAGUAAUAGCUCUCUACAAGCAAUACAACAUCCAAAGAAUGAGGCUCUAUACUCCUAAUUUUGACGCACUCCAAGCCCUCCAAGGCUCCCCAGUUGAGCUCAUUCUAGGUGUAGAAAACGAGCGCCUUAAAGACAUUUCUUCUAGCCAAGCCAGUGCAGAUGAUUGGGUCAAAAAGAAUGUCCAAAGCCA
RNAcentral lists this long non-coding RNA (831 nucleotides) under Prunus dulcis (almond). RNAcentral describes it as "sRNA ncRNA". Lineage: Eukaryota; Viridiplantae; Streptophyta; Magnoliopsida; Rosales; Rosaceae. The record is from RNAcentral.